GAUGAACGCUGGCGGCGUGCCUAAUACAUGCAAGUCGAGCGAACAGACGAGGAGCUUGCUCCUCUGACGUUAGCGGCGGACGGGUGAGUAACACGUGGAUAACCUACCUAUAAGACUGGGAUAACUUCGGGAAACCGGAGCUAAUACCGGAUAAUAUAUUGAACCGCAUGGUUCAAUAGUGAAAGACGGUUUUGCUGUCACUUAUAGAUGGAUCCGCGCCGCAUUAGCUAGUUGGUAAGGUAACGGCUUACCAAGGCAACGAUGCGUAGACGACCUGAGAGGGUGAUCGGCCACACUGGAACUGAGACACGGUCCAGACUCCUACGGGAGGCAGCAGUAGGAAAUCUUCCGCAAUGGGCGAAAGCCUGACGGAGCAACGCCGCGUGAGUGAUGAAGGUCUUCGGAUCGUAAAACUCUGUUAUUAGGGAAGAACAAAUGUGUAAGUAACUAUGCACGUCUUGACGGUACCUAAUCAGAAAGCCACGGCUAACUACGUG
RNAcentral lists this ribosomal RNA (497 nucleotides) under uncultured bacterium. RNAcentral's name for it is "partial 16S ribosomal RNA". It matches the Rfam family "Bacterial small subunit ribosomal RNA", at positions 28 to 507 of the family's 1533-position model. The record is from RNAcentral.